GACGAACGCUGGCGGCGUGCUUAACACAUGCAAGUCGAACGGAAAGGCCCUGCUUUUGUGGGGUGCUCGAGUGGCGAACGGGUGAGUAACACGUGAGUAACCUGCCCUUGACUUUGGGAUAACUUCAGGAAACUGGGGCUACUACCGGAUAGGAGCUCCUGCUGCAUGGUGGGGGUUGGAAAUUUUCGGCGGGUGGGGAUGGACUCGCGGCUUAUCAGCUUGUUGGUGGGGUAGUGGCUUACCAAGGCUUUGACGGGUAGCCGGCCUGAGAGGGUGACCGGCCACAUUGGGACUGAGAGACGGCCCAGACGCCUAUGGGAGGCAGCAGGGGGGAAUAUUGCACAAUGGGCGGAAGCCUGAUGCAGAAACGCCGCGUGCGGGAUGACGGCCUUCGGGUUGUAAACCGCUUUCGCCUGUGACGAAGCGUGAGUGACGGUAAUGGGUAAAGAAGCACCGGCUAACUACGUG
This 468-nucleotide ribosomal RNA is filed under the name uncultured bacterium. Its description in RNAcentral is "partial 16S ribosomal RNA". It matches the Rfam family "Bacterial small subunit ribosomal RNA", at positions 28 to 507 of the family's 1533-position model. The record is from RNAcentral.